This 328-nucleotide long non-coding RNA is filed under the name Brassica napus (rape). Its description in RNAcentral is "long non-coding RNA (BNAP_LNC015066)". The record is from RNAcentral. Lineage: Eukaryota; Viridiplantae; Streptophyta; Magnoliopsida; Brassicales; Brassicaceae.
GAAUGCUAUAAACCAUUGUAAAUAAAUCUUAAACAAUUCUUGCCUUUUUUCUCUUCCUAGUAUGUUCUUUUUAACUUGCAUUUUCUUCUUUUUAACUUUCCCGCACACGCUCGAUGCAUCUCCAUUUACUUCUUCAACCUCUUCCAUCCGACCCAAUUUACAAAAAACAAUGAUCGAUUUAUAAGAGUUUAUAAAUAACAAACUGAUACUUGGAAGUAAUUUUAUAAACCAUUAUACACAGAUUUUAAAUAUUUCUUACCUUCUUUCUUGUUCCUUGUUUCUUCUCUUUAACUUUCUCGGGCUCUUUGGAUACAUCUUCAUUUACUUC